UAGGGAAUCUUCGGCAAUGGACGAAAGUCUGACCGAGCAACGCCGCGUGAGUGAAGAAGGUUUUCGGAUCGUAAAACUCUGUUGUUAGAGAAGAACAAGGACGUUAGUAACUGAACGUCCCCUGACGGUAUCUAACCAGAAAGCCACGGCUAACUACGUGCCAGCAGCCGCGGUAAUACGUAGGUGGCAAGCGUUGUCCGGAUUUAUUGGGCGUAAAGCGAGCGCAGGCGGUUUCUUAAGUCUGAUGUGAAAGCCCCCGGCUCAACCGGGGAGGGUCAUUGGAAACUGGGAGACUUGAGUGCAGAAGAGGAGAGUGGAAUUCCAUGUGUAGCGGUGAAAUGCGUAGAUAUAUGGAGGAACACCAGUGGCGAGGGCGGCUCUUUGGUCUGUAACUGACGCUGAGGCUCGAAAGCGUGGGGAGCAAACAGG
This 429-nucleotide ribosomal RNA is filed under the name Gemmatimonadota bacterium. RNAcentral's name for it is "Gemmatimonadetes bacterium partial 16S ribosomal RNA". It matches the Rfam family "Bacterial small subunit ribosomal RNA", at positions 355 to 776 of the family's 1533-position model. The record is from RNAcentral. Lineage: Bacteria; Pseudomonadati; Gemmatimonadota.